UGGGGAAUAUUGGACAAUGGGCGCAAGCCUGAUCCAGCCAUGCCGCGUGAGUGAUGAAGGCCUUAGGGUUGUAAAGCUCUUUUAGCAGGGAAGAUAAUGACGGUACCUGCAGAAAAAGCCCCGGCUGACUUCAGUGCCAGCCAGCCGCCGGGUAAUACGAAGGGGCGUAGCGUUGCUCGGAAUUACUGGGCGUAAAGCGCACGUAGGCGGCUUCUUAAGUCGGGGGUGAAAUCCUGGAGCUCAACUCCAGAACUGCCUUCGAUACUGGGAAGCUCGAGUUCGGGAGAGGUGAGUGGAACUGCGAGUGUAGAGGUGAAAUUCGUAGAUAUUCGCAAGAACACCAGUGGCGAAGGCGGCUCACUUGGCCCGAUACUGACGCUGAGGUGCGAAAGCGUGGGGAGCAAACA
This 407-nucleotide ribosomal RNA is filed under the name uncultured Pseudolabrys sp. Its description in RNAcentral is "bacterial SSU rRNA". It matches the Rfam family "Bacterial small subunit ribosomal RNA", at positions 355 to 774 of the family's 1533-position model. The record is from RNAcentral. Lineage: Bacteria; Pseudomonadati; Pseudomonadota; Alphaproteobacteria; Hyphomicrobiales; Xanthobacteraceae.